This is a long non-coding RNA of Oncorhynchus tshawytscha (Chinook salmon), 972 nucleotides long. The record is from Ensembl. Lineage: Eukaryota; Metazoa; Chordata; Actinopteri; Salmoniformes; Salmonidae.
CCCCCAUCUCUAGAGACACAGCUUCACCCCAUCUCUCUAGACACAGUUUCAUCCCCCAUCUCUAGAGACACAGUUUCACCCCAUCUCUCCAGACACAGUUUCAGCCCGCCAUCUCUAGAGACACAGUUUCACCCCAUCUCUCCAGACACAGUUUCAUCCCCCCAUCUCUCUAGACACAGUUUCAUCCCCCAUCUCUAGAGACACAGUUUCACCCCAUCUCUCCAGACACAGUUUCAUCCCCCCAUCUCUAGAGACACAGUUUCACCCCAUCUCUCUAGACACAGUUUAAUCCCCAUCUCUAGAGACACAGCUUCACCCCAUCUCUAGAGAUACAGCCUUCACCCCAUCUCUAGAGAUACAGCGUCACCCCCAUCUCUAGAGACACAGCGUCACCCCCAUCUCUAGAGACACAGCUUCACCCCAUCUCUCCAGACACAGUUUCAUCCCCCAUCUCUAGAGACACAGUUUCACCCCAUCUCUCCAGACACAGUUUCAUCCCCCAUCUCUAGAGACACAGUUUCACCCCAUCUCUCUAGACACAGUUUCAUCCCCCAUCUCUAGAGACAUAGUUUCACCCCAUCUCUCCAGACACAGUUUCACCCCAUCUCUCCAGACACAGUUUCAUCACCCCAUCUCUAGAGACACAGUUUCAUCCCCCAUCUCUAGAGACAGUUUCACCCCAUCUCUCCAGACACAGUUUCAUCCCCACAUCUCUAGAGACACAGUUACACCCCAUCUCUCUAGACACAGUUUCAUCCCCCAUCUCUAGAGACACAGCUUCACCCCAUCUCUAGAGACACAGCUUCACCCCCCAUCUCUAGAGACACAGCCUCACCCCUCAAAUCCAAAGUUACACACAUGCUGGCUAGAUGCUUGCUGUCUAACUAUUGGAAAGCAGUCACCACACCACUGCCAUUAUGCUUUACAUUUGCACUAGAAAACUUUACCUGAAAGGGUUUGAUUGGUGAGGGG